Molecule: ribosomal RNA, 519 nt
Filed under: uncultured bacterium
Lineage: Bacteria
Description: bacterial SSU rRNA
Rfam family: Bacterial small subunit ribosomal RNA
Source: RNAcentral
AAUAGAUACCCAGGUAGUCCACGCCGUAAACGAUGAGUGCUAGGUGUUAGGGGGUCCAACCCUUAGUGCCGAAGUUAACACAUUAAGCACUCCGCCUGGGGAGUACGGUCGCAAGACUGAAACUCAAAGGAAUUGACGGGGGGCCCGCACAAGCGGUGGAGCAUGUGGUUUAAUUCGAAGCAACGCGAAGAACCUUACCAGGGCUUGACAUCCCUCUGACACAUCUAGAGAUAGGUGCUCCCUUCGGGGCAGAGGUGACAGGUGGUGCAUGGUUGUCGUCAGCUCGUGUCGUGAGAUGUUGGGUUAAGUCCCGCAACGAGCGCAACCCUUGUCCUUAGUUGCCAGCAUUCAGUUGGGCACUCUAAGGAGACUGCCGGUGUCAAACCGGAGGAAGGUGGGGAUGACGUCAAAUCAUCAUGCCCCUUAUGUCCUGGGCUACACACGUGCUACAAUGGCUGGUACAAAGGGUAGCGAAGCAGUGAUGUGGAGCCAAUCCCAAAAAGCCAGUCACAGUUCGGA